AUGAAAGGUCGUCUCACACUCAAGUCUGUUCAGGGUUGCUUGUGUUCGAGGAUUGCAUGAAGAACUGAACAAGGGACAUCAGGCAGCUGAAAAAACUUUUUUUGCUUGGGUUCUUUUUAGUUGAAUCCACUGCUGUUCUGGCAAAGCUUUGGCCACCUUAAGCAGUAUAUCUGAAUGUCAAACCAUGGCCAGUGUCUCCUGAAACAACACUUCGAAUUACUCAUGUGAAGAAAAAGAAAUGGAGGAGGAGUCACCCGCCAGCAAAUAGUUAUUACUAGACAAUCAAAUAUAAGAGAUGAUGGUUGGUCUGCCAAGGAAAUGGCUGCAAUUUUAAAGAGCUGAGGUCCCUAAGUUAGUAGGAGCAAUGCCAAAACUGUCUCCUAAAUAAGGGACACAGACAAGCACUGGAUAAGAAACUGUGCUUCCUGAGAAGGCUUGUUCAUCAUGUGUAAGGAUGUGAACUCAAGGAAUGAAGCUAUGACAUUUGGAGUCUGUGUGGGUGACAACAGGGAAUGAGAAGUCUGGCUUCCUGGAGAUACUGAGUCUGAACAUGCACACAGAGGAUGAAAAGUGAGAUGAUCAGACCUGAGCCCCACAUAGGAAGUUGCCAAAUAAAUAUUCUGUGGUGGUAAGUGUCUCA
Molecule: long non-coding RNA, 640 nt
Filed under: Struthio camelus australis
Lineage: Eukaryota; Metazoa; Chordata; Aves; Struthioniformes; Struthionidae
Description: lncRNA (ENSSCUG00000016071.1)
Source: RNAcentral